CUCGAAUUUUUAGGCCGAGAAGAUACAGUGUGUGUGGUACUGUCUACAAACCAACGAAUUUAUAUUGAAGCUACAAUCACAAUCAUUGUUAUUGCUGCAAAACAGGUAUUCUCUUGGCCAAACUCAAGCAGGAGUCAGAGGAUAAAGAAGCCCAUUGAAAAUGUCCAUACUGAUCAGCGCCAGGGCAGGCAACAAGAUGCAGAAUGGGGCCAGGGUACCUGGAUGAUACACAGCACAAGGUCUAAAAUUGAGGAAUCAAGAAAUAGCAAGACGGCCAGGUGCGGUGGCUCAUGCCUGUAAUCCCAGCACUUUAGGAGGCUGAGACGCUUUCCUUCUGCAGACUGCCUUUCCUGACAAGAACAGACUCAGACAGUCUGUAGAGUGGUUCCGCCCCGAAGCUGAAAAAUAGUGUACAAAGCUGUCACGAAGUUUCCACUGCACAGCUCCAAUGUUCCAUUUGCUCUGGCGACAGAUCUUUCGGUGACCUUCGAAAGCGACAUCGAGAUUGACGAUGUAUAAGAAUCUGCCGCCAGAAAGCACUGCAUGUUGCCCAAGACAGUCACAGACAUCGCAGUUGCCUGGGAGUCACGAAACUCUACCACUACGUUCUCGCUGCUCCAUCGCGCCGCCAUCUCCCACUCUCGGCCGCCAAGGCCCCAGGACCGCGCCCUCCCAUCCACCAGACCCGGGUCCCCUGGCCCUCUGAGCCCUACACAGCCCGCGAGUCAGCCCUGACACGUCCAGUCCCCUGCUUCUUUGUGUUUUGAUAGAAAACAAAACAAAACAAAACAAAACAAAAACAUCUUGCCAAUCCAUUUGGCUUAUAAAAUAAUGUAUUGUGCACAUUUAUUAUAAUGAUAAUAAUUACAUAAGAAGUAAUUUGGGAGAAUGGGGUCCAAAAUCAGCUAUAGUAUAGUCAUGAGGGUUGCACCUGGAAGAGACUGCCUCUCUGAUGUUCAAAGUUUGAGAAUUAGUCCUUAAUGAAUAAAUGUAUAUAAUGCAAUUUUGAAGUUUAUACUUUCCUUGUUUGAACAGGAUAGAAUCAGCACUAAACAGAAACCAGUACAAUUCUCAAUAACAAAUUAUCUCAGUAGAGGUCCAAUAACCCUGUGAUAAAUAUGCGCCUGUUCUUCUCCACUGUCUGACCUACUUAUGUCUGCAUCAAGUAUCCCCAAACUGCUCUGUCAGGAAUAUACACCCGAAGAGCCCUCUGAGAACUGGUUUAACUAGUAUUUUGGCUUGUUUUGGGUGCACCUGUGACCUAAUUUACAAGACCAAGAUUAAUUAAAUGUUCAUGCACAAUUAAAAGACAAUUUUACUUCAGUAGUAUGAUGCUUAAUUUCUGCUUAUAGAAUUCAUUUUUUAUUAGUUAUAAAUUAUGCUAGAUGACAUAGAGAGGAAUAUCAAAUGCAGAGGAUUCUUAGCCUGAGAUCCAUGGACCUCAAGUGUUUCACGAACACCUUGAGAUAGUUUUCAAAAUGGUAUAUGUGUGUAUCUAGGGGCAUCUUUCUGAGAAAGGGAUUUCCUAGAUUUUAUUCAAUAUGAUCUGGAGUCCAGAGCAAAAAAAUAUUGUACAAAUCUUUGCUCUACUAACUUCUUGACAUUGGGAAUUUGAGGGAGAGGAAUUUUCCAUCAGCUUUUUGUUUUUUGGGAAAUAAAUAAAAUGACUAUGAGCAAACAUGAAGACAAUUCCCAAACCAAUUCCCAAAGACUGGUACCAGUAGCUCCUGGUGCAGAACCAACUUCAGCAUGGCAGGGAACAAAGAAAUGUUCAGUUAUACUGAGGGCAAAAGGACAAUGAGAAUCUCCUAAGUUCCUCAAAGUCACUUCUGUUGCUCCCUGAUGUUUACAGUUCAAAGCAGAUACUUGUGCUCCUAAAACAAACAACCUUGAAGCCCUGGCCUGAUCUAUGGUCUCAGCCUAUCCUUCAACUUUUUCUCAGCUCUUCUUUUACUUCCACUAUGGUAUGGCCACCCAGACAACCAGUCCACAGACUACGCCCUUAUCUUGUAUCUCACAAUAUGUGAAAAGGUUUGGGCCAACACCGUCUUCUAAAUACCAUCUUCAAUCCCUGCCUAAACUCAAAUAUCCAGCUUAUUUCAGCUUCUCAGUUUAUCUAGGCUGUUAGCUUCCAGUCACCUGCAGUUUUCCCUAACUUUCUCUGUGUGGGUGUUACUUUAUUCACUGUUUUUAGCCAAUAUCUCAUCACUACAAACUGAAAUCUCCACAGGCAGGGCCAGUGCUUAGUGUCCUGCUCAAUUCUGUGUCCACAGCACUAAGGGCAGCAGUGGGUGUGGCACAAAAAUUUGUCCUUCCUAUUUUCAAGUCCGUAUACUCUCAGGUCAGUUGUAGGCUGUGCAAGCUGUACCACUAGGUCUGAUAUGUGGCUCAUUAAGCAAAAACAGGAGAGAAUUGUACCAAUGCACAUUGCAAGCCAGAGUUCUGAAUUCAUUUUGAAGAAGUAACUUCAUUUGGUCACAUUUUUGUUCUUAUUCCCGUGAGCAAUAGUUUCCAUUUAAUUGGGAAGAUAUAAAGGAGAGUUCCCAUAUAUCCCCACACUCAGUUUUCCUUAUUAUUAAAAUCUUACAUUGGUAUGGUACGUUUGUUACAAACAAUUAACAAAUAUGUAUACAUUAUUAUUAACUAAAAUGAAUAUGUUAGAUUUCCUUCAUUUUUACCUAAUUUCCUUUCUCUGUUCCAGGAUCCUAUUCAGAAUUCCAUGUUAUUUUUAGUCAUCAUGACUCCCUAAGCUCUCUUGGCUGUGGUAGUUCUUAGACUUUCCUUGAUUUUGAUGAUCUUGACAGUUUUGAAGAGUGUUGAGCAGGCAUUUUGUAGAAUGUCCUUCAACUAGGAUUUGUCUGAUAUUUUUCUCAUCAUUAGAUCGGAGUUAGGGGUUCGAGGGAGCAAGACCGCAGAGGUAAAGUGGAGGGUUUUUGUUUGUUUGUUUGUUUGUUUUGAGACAGGGUCUCCCUCUGUCACGCAGGCUGGAAUGCAGUGGCACCAUCUCGGCUCUCUGCAACCUCCGCCUCCCGGGUUCAAGCGAUUCUCCUGCCUCAGCCUCAUGAGCAGCUGGGACUACAGGCAUCUGCCACCACGCCUGGCUAAUUUUUGUAUUUUUAGUGGAGACAGGGUUUCACCAUGUUGGCCAGGCUGGUCUCGAACUCCUUGCCUCAAGUGAUCCACCUGCCUCGGCCUCCCAAAGUGCUGGGAUUACAGGAAUAAACCACCAUGCUUGACCUAAAGCGCCAUUUUUAUCACGUUAUAUCAAGACAAUAUACUAUCAACAUGGCUUAUCACUGCUGGUGUAAUGCUUUUGGGAUUUAUUCACUGCUUACUUUCCCACCCUUUUUCAUACUGUAUUCUGUAGAGCAAUCACUAUGCAGAGCCCACAAUGAAGGGGUGGAGUUAUCUGGAAUUCUGCUCAGGAGAUUCCUUGAAAAACUGAGAUUUGUUGCACAUCAGGGAAGCUGUAGGGAUUGGUUUGAAGUCUUCUAUUUAUUGUUUCUCAAAUUGUUUCAGCUUUGACCAUUACAGGCAUAUAUUUUUAAUUUUUUUUUUCAGAGAGCACAGAACUUGGUACAAGCCCUAGCCCUUAGAAAUGCUCAUCUUAAAUUUGUUACAUGGACCUUCAGUUUUUCAAAAGCCUCCAGUGGGCUAGAUUUUUAUUGAAAAUGCUUAGGAUCCUCAUGCUUCUUGUUCCCGAGGCUCCUGGAAACCACCUUUAGUUAUCCCGUUUGGUAAGAGGGUUUCAUUCUGUCUUGCUUUCUGGUAGUGAGUGGAUCAGAAAGUCAUAGGGCUGGGAGAAGAUGGACUGGAUGAGAUAUGUACGGAUAUUCUCUUUGCCACUGUACAGCGGCCAUUGCAGCUCCUGCCGCAGAGCCCACGGCCCUACGGGCGGGACCCAUUUUAACCUGGUAGUGACAGUGCCGCCUCAUUGAAGCAGGAAGGAUUUUUGUCCAUGACACUAGACGUCUCUAAGCAAUAAAGUAAUUUUGGCAGAUGCCGAUACCUCUCAUGUGAUCUUGUUGGGAAGGUUCAGAUCCUAUCACCUGAGAUUAUUUACUCUUAAAGACCCUCUGCCUCCUUCCUCAGCCUUUCUGUUUGACAACAUAAGAUCGCUUUUAUCUCCUGCAAUGAACACUCCUAGACAAGUCAUGUCCGGGUCUUGGUAUCAGUAAAUUUUUACUGCUGAAUAUUUUGGGAGAGGUUCUCAGUUAAUCCCAUUGAGAAAGACCAAGUUAAAGCUUUAUCAGUGAGAAACUAAUUACAAAAUCCUGCCUUGCAAAUAUUCGAGCUUUUAACAGUGCUUUACUCUUUGGUAUCCACGAGGUGGAGCCUUCCCGGGAAGCAGAAAGCAUCUUUUGGUGUCCUGUUUUUUGUUUUUUACCCUCGGCAACGCCACGGGUGCCAGGACUAGUUGACACGCCGCCUCAAUUUAAGUCAUCCAUAAUUUAUACGUUACGAAAUGGAACUUUCAAAAGUGUUCCUAGCGUUAGGAGCAAAGAACGCCGGACAAACGCUCGGGAGGCGGCGAGCCUCGCGGUUCUUCCAACAACGCAAUCUGUCAGCGCGGCUAGGUUGGUGCCCUCUCCCCCUGUAUCGGGGCAGCCCGGCUUAGGGCCGCAGAACCGAGGCUGGGGAGCCCCGCAGGCUGUUGCUAAGAGUCCAGGGGAGGCACGGACUUACCUUAUCUGCCCCUGGAAACAGAUUUGCUCUUGGAUCUUGCACGAAGAGCCCUGUGAGAAACGAAAAGGGAACUUGUGUGAUGGCGGCAGAUAACGAACAUUAGGGUAGAAACUUAGGUUCUUAAAGGGAAGACAGCUUGAGUUCGGAAAUGAAGAUAUAUUCCUUCAGGAAGGCCUGUUAAAAACACGAGCUAUUGCGAGGUUCCAUGGUGUAAUGGUUAGCACUCUGGACUCUGAAUCCAGCGAUCCGAGUUCAAAUCUCGGUGGAACCUGUCGUUUCUUCUUGCUUCCUCACUAUUUUUUUCUUUCUAAAAUAAA
RNAcentral lists this transfer RNA (5003 nucleotides) under Homo sapiens (human). RNAcentral describes it as "HSALNT0333430". The stretch from base 4886 to 4957 matches the Rfam family "tRNA". The record is from RNAcentral. Lineage: Eukaryota; Metazoa; Chordata; Mammalia; Primates; Hominidae.